GGAUGUGAGGGCGAUCUGGCUGCGACAUCUGUCACCCCAUUGAUCGCCAGGGUUGAUUCGGCUGAUCUGGCUGGCUAGGCGGGUGUCCCCUUCCUCCCUCACCGCUCCAUGUGCGUCCCUCCCGAAGCUGAGCGCUCGGUCGAAGAGGACGACCUUCCCCGAUAGAGGAGGACCGUUCUUCGGUCAAGGGUAUACGAGUAGCUGCGCUCCCCUGCUAGAACCUCCAAAAACAAGCUCUCAAGGUCUCCGCUUUUGGCAGUCAAGUCUCCCUCUAGGUAGAUUCUUUCUCUGUCGUUCUCUGCGUGGGACACUUUUUCCAUGGCGGUUGAG
Molecule: small nuclear RNA, 330 nt
Filed under: Felis catus (domestic cat)
Lineage: Eukaryota; Metazoa; Chordata; Mammalia; Carnivora; Felidae
Description: 7SK RNA
Rfam family: 7SK RNA
About the family: 7SK was discovered as an abundant small nuclear RNA in the mid-70s but a possible function has only recently been suggested. Two independent studies have found that 7SK RNA binds the CDK9/cyclin T complex (known as elongation factor P-TEFb).
Source: Rfam by way of RNAcentral